This 69-nucleotide transfer RNA is filed under the name Allacta bruna. RNAcentral's name for it is "tRNA-Val". The record is from RNAcentral. Lineage: Eukaryota; Metazoa; Arthropoda; Insecta; Blattodea; Pseudophyllodromiidae.
CAGGUUUAUUAUUAGUUAAGUAUCUCUUUUACAUUGAGAUUUAUUAUUGUGCAAUUCAAUAUAACUUGA